GGACGAUUGAGGAGUCCCACAAUAGGACGAAACGGCCGUCCAGUGC
RNAcentral lists this non-coding RNA (46 nucleotides) under Schistosoma mansoni. The record is from RNAcentral. Lineage: Eukaryota; Metazoa; Platyhelminthes; Trematoda; Strigeidida; Schistosomatidae.